This 711-nucleotide ribosomal RNA is filed under the name Triticum aestivum (bread wheat). RNAcentral describes it as "partial small subunit ribosomal RNA". Lineage: Eukaryota; Viridiplantae; Streptophyta; Magnoliopsida; Poales; Poaceae. The record is from RNAcentral.
AUGAAACAAGACGACGCCCCCGUUUUUGCCCAGCAGGUCUCCGACGUCGAGCGCUCUCCACCGGCCACUCCCCCCGUCAGAAUCAGCCAUGACUCACAUGGGGUCUCCGGUGUUGAGCGCUCUCCACCGGCCACUCCCCCCGUCAGAAUCAGCCACGACUCACACGGGUGUCUCCACUCCCAGCCAUACACGUCCAGGAAAGGCACCUUGUCACGCAGCGCUACUCGUGUCAUUGAUAAAUACCGCCGCAAGAGAGCCACAAAUAAGUCGACGAAAGGCAAUGCAACUAGCACCAGAAUAAAUUCAAGAUGCCAACCAAAGUGUGUCAUUAGUUUGAUUAACGGUUUUGAUGACAUGAAAAAGGAUCUUGUCCGUCAAACAGGGCUUCACGGCAUCCUUCAGCUGAAGUUAACUAAAGUUAACAGACAGUAUGGCGCCUGGCUUCUGAGCAAGAUUGAUGUUGAUUCAUGUGCCAUCGUAGCUGAUGUUCAUAAAGUGGUUCCCUUCUCUGCGAGGGACGUUAAUUCAGUCUUGGGUGUACCAUGCAGCGGGAGAACCAUUGAGACCUGUAACCAAGAUGAGGUAGAAAGGAGUAAGAGGAUUCUUUGUGAUAUUUUUGAGGUUCCACACUUUUCACAGGUUACUGUUAAAUUGUUGGAGACAAUUCUUAAUAAACAAUAUUCAUAUCCGAUGAGCUUAAAGGACCAAUGA